Triticum urartu is the source of this 677-nucleotide non-coding RNA. The record is from RefSeq and is a predicted model, not a curated record. Lineage: Eukaryota; Viridiplantae; Streptophyta; Magnoliopsida; Poales; Poaceae.
AGUGUUGGCAAGGGAGUACAUGGUGCGGUCUUGGGUAGAGGUGGAGCUCGUGCCUCAUCCCCCAGCCAAGGCGACAGUGUUGGACGAACCUAUGAUGACUGUAGACUUCGCUCGCGUUCACCAUCUGUCAGUACAGGCACUGUUCAUUCCCAUGUGGAGGUGGGUGGCUAUCACUCCGGAGUUCCAUCCACAGUAGAAGGUCAAGUAGGAGAAUCUAUGGACUAUGAUUGGGCAGCGGCGCAUGGCCCUAACGCGCCUCCAUCGCCAUGAGACUCAUAGCCUGGAAUUGCCGAGGAAUGGGGCGAGGCCUUGGCAAUGAAAGGAUGACGUAUCUCGCCAAAUUCAUUCAUUCCACUAAAGCUCAGUGUUGUAGUUCCUUCGAGGGGCUCCUCAGGCGGUUUAUGGCUGAUGUGGAAUGAUGAGCUUCAAGUUCAUGUGAAUACGGCUUCCUUCUAUGUUAUCUUAGCGAAUGUAGUUCAUAUAGCUACCGGUAGAGAUUUUGGUCUAGUUUGCAUCUAUGGUGAUCCUUAUCACAGACAAACUGAUGUGAUUUGGGAUCAGAUUUCAAAUUUUGUGUAUGAUAACCCUGGGAAGCCUAUGUUAUGUAUGGGAGAUCUCAAUGAACUUUUGUAUGAUGUGGAUAAAAGUAAUGCUAAUGUGAAUUAUCGUCGCCUGUA